RNAcentral lists this transfer RNA (73 nucleotides) under Aeromicrobium panaciterrae. RNAcentral's name for it is "tRNA-Pro". It matches the Rfam family "tRNA". Rfam says of the family: Transfer RNA (tRNA) molecules are approximately 80 nucleotides in length. Their secondary structure includes four short double-helical elements and three loops (D, anti-codon, and T loops). Further hydrogen bonds mediate the characteristic L-shaped molecular structure. tRNAs have two regions of fundamental functional importance: the anti-codon, which is responsible for specific mRNA codon recognition, and the 3' end, to which the tRNAs corresponding amino acid is attached (by aminoacyl-tRNA synthetases). tRNAs cope with the degeneracy of the genetic code in two manners: having more than one tRNA (with a specific anti-codon) for a particular amino acid; and 'wobble' base-pairing, i.e. permitting non-standard base-pairing at the 3rd anti-codon position. The record is from RNAcentral. Lineage: Bacteria; Bacillati; Actinomycetota; Actinomycetes; Propionibacteriales; Nocardioidaceae. RNAcentral also lists the same sequence under 1 other name.
CCGGGUGUAGGCCAGCGGCUAGGCCACCUGCUUUGGGAGCAGGGGAUCGGGGGUUCGAGUCCCUCCACCCGGA